Oncorhynchus kisutch (coho salmon) is the source of this 7772-nucleotide RNA transcript. It is a transcript of the gene named ras-related protein Rab-9B-like, with no coding region annotated. The record is from RefSeq and is a predicted model, not a curated record. NCBI's taxonomy places the organism in Eukaryota, Metazoa, Chordata, Actinopteri, Salmoniformes, Salmonidae. The transcript is spliced from 3 exons.
UACGCCAAUUCUGUUUCAAAACUUUCUUAAACGGAAGCAAAUGGAACGGAGCGCGACCUACAUUGAAUUUGUCCAAUAUAAAAUCUCGGGUUUGUUGCAAAAAGAAACUGUUUGCAACCGUUUGGACUAAUUAUUACCCUGGACUGGAAAAUACUGGGGACGCGCCUCAACAAGCAAGUGUUCACAAUCCGUCAAAAUCUCAGAUGCAAAACUGGGCAAGCUACGAUUUAUAACACGGUACAACAUGAGGUUGCAUUGACCCUGAUAGUACUACCCCAGUAGCCUAGCACGAGGUGAAGGCUGGGUCACAGUGGUCAGUAACCCAGCUAGAAGGCUUUGCUCCAGGCUAGCCAGCCUGCCAGCAGAGGGAGGGGGCCUUGCCACGGAACGGCCUGGUGAGCUGCAGAGACUAGCAGCGGCGGGAGGGUUGUGAUGAGCGGGAAGAGCCUGCUGUUAAAGGUGAUCCUGCUGGGGGACGGUGGCGUGGGGAAAUCUUCCUUAAUGAACCGCUACGUCACGGACCGCUUCGACGCCCAGUCCUUCCACACCAUCGGGGUGGAGUUCCUCAACAGAGACCUGGAGGUCAGAUUAGAGCCCUUUCUGAAUUCAUCUUUUCUUCAUUCGUGGCAUUAUAUCCCCUUGCCUUCUUCUCAAAAUGUAAAAUGAGGGGAGGGACCUUGGACUUUCUCCAAUAAGAUUGAGGAGGCGGCGAGGAGAUAGAGCCAAGGUGGACGGGCGCCUGGUGACCCUUCAGAUCUGGGACACGGCGGGUCAGGAGCGCUUCAAGUCCCUGAGGACGCCGUUCUACCGUGGCGCCGACUGCUGCCUCCUCACCUUCGCUGUAGACGACCUACACAGCUUCCAGAACCUGGCCAGCUGGAAGAAAGAGUUCAUGUUUUACUCUGACGUACGAGACCCAGAGAGGUUCCCCUUCGUUGUCCUGGGCAACAAGGUGGACAAGGAGGAGGGGAAGGAGGUGGGGGAGGAUGAGGCUCGGGCCUGGUGCGAGGAGAAUGGCUGUUGUCCCUACUUCGAGACCAGUGCUAAGGACGAUACUAACGUGGGAGUGGCAUUCGAGGCAGCGGUACGGGAGGUUCUGGCGGCGGAGGAUCAGAUCGACCACACGCUGUUGAGUAGCACUAUCGAUCUCCACGGCAACCGUAAAGUACCGCGCUCUUCUUGCUGCUGAUUGGUUGAAAGGACUGGUUUCUCUCUCCGUCCAGCCUGUAGCAUCCUGAGGGCCAGAGAGCUGUUCUGCUCUCCACUGAUCUCUAUGGUUACUUACCUGAUGCAGGUACAAGCUGCUGAGACUGAUGAUCGGGUAUCAAUAUACCCGAUCAUGAUGAUCGGCUAUCAAUGCAGCUGAUUUUAAAGAGUGUUGGGUUGUCGGUAUCGACACAUCUGAUUUUUAAAGUUUAUCAAUGAGGUACAAUGUAACAGGUACACCAUGUUGUUCAACUCGGUCUGCUUUCAGCAGUAUAGCACAAAACUGCUCUUUACAUCCAGCCAGCUUCAUGUACCUGCCCUGUGUAAUGUUUUCAGCAUUUUUUUGUUCUUUUUUAUUUAACCAGGCAAGUCAGUUAUGAACAAAUUCUUAUUUUCAAUGACGGCCUAGGAACUGCCUGUUCAGGGGCAGAACGACAGAUUUGUACCAUGUCAGCUUGGGGAUUUGAACUUGCAAAUCCCCCAAGUCCAAUGCUCUAACAACUAGGCUACCCUAGCAUUUUAAUCUGAUAAUAUUCAUGUGUCCUUUCUGUUCUCCUCUCCAAGAGCACAGGCUGCUUGUGGCACAGCAACAUUCUCAUUCAUUUUUCUGUCUGUCUGCUAAGUCUUCUAAGGUCUCAUAGGUACUUUGACCAGAACACGAUUCUAUCACACUGUCAGGUCUCAUGACAGUGGUUGGCUGACUGACCAGAGGAAUAUCAUUUAAUAUAAUACAUAUAGACAUGGUGUGUUGACUGACCAGUGGAAUAUCAUUUAAUAUAAUACAUAUAGACAUGGUGUGUUGACUGACUGACCAGUGGAAUAUCAUUUAAUAUAAUACAUAUAGACAUGGUGUGUUGACUGACCAGUGGAAUAUCAUUUAAUAUAAUACAUAUAGACAUGGUGUGUUGACUGACUGACCAGUGGAAUAUCAUUUAAUAUAUAUAGACAUGGUGUGUUGACUGACUGACCAGUGGAAUAUCAUUUAAUAUAAUACAUAUAGACAUGGUGUGUUGACUGACCAGUGGAAUAUCAUUUAAUAUAAUACAUAUAGACAUGGUGUGUUGACUGACUGACCAGUGGAAUAUCAUUUAAUAUAUAUAGACAUGGUGUGUUGACUGACCAGUGGAAUAUCAUUUAAUAUAAUACAUAUAGACAUGGUGUGUUGACUGACUGACCAGUGGAAUAUCAUUUAAUAUAUAUAGACAUGGUGUGUUGACUGACUGACCAGUGGAAUAUCAUUUAAUAUAAUACAUAUAGACAUGGUGUGUUGACUGACUGACCAGAGGAAUAUCAUUUAAUAUAUAUAGACAUGGUGUGUUGACUGACUGACCAGUGGAAUAUCAUUUAAUAUAAUACAUAUAGACAUGGUGUGUUGACUGACCAGUGGAAUAUCAUUUAAUAUAAUACAUAUAGACAUGGUGUGUUGACUGACUGACCAGUGGAAUAUCAUUUAAUAUAUAUAGACAUGGUGUGUUGACUGACCAGUGGAAUAUCAUGUAAUAUAAUACAUAUAGACAUGGUGUGUUGACUGACUGACCAGUGGAAUAUCAUUUAAUAUAUAUAGACAUGGUGUGUUGACUGACUGACCAGUGGAAUAUCAUUUAAUAUAAUACAUAUAGACAUGGUGUGUUGACUGACUGACCAGUGGAAUAUCAUUUAAUAUAUAUAGACAUGGUGUGUUGACUGACCAGUGGAAUAUCAUUUAAUAUAAUACAUAUAGACAUGGUGUGUUGACUGACCAGUGGAAUAUCAUUUAAUAUAAUACAUAUAGACAUGGUGUGUUGACUGACCAGAGGAAAAUAAUUUAAUAUAAUACAUAUAGACAUGGUGUGUUGACUGACCAGUGGAAUAUCAUUUAAUAUAAUACAUAUAGACAUGGUGUGUUGACUGACCAGUGGAAUAUCAUUUAAUAUAAUACAUAUAGACAUGGUGUGUUGACUGACCAGUGGAAUAUCAUUUAAUAUAAUACAUAUAGACAUGGUGUGUUAACUGACCAGAGGAAAAUCAUUUAAUACACUGACAUAGACCUCUACAUGAAGCUGGACUUGAUCCAGUCACAUCUUGUUUAAGAACUGACAACAUGGAUUGCACACAUUACUGUACCAGGACAAAUGUUUACUGCACAAAAAGGGAUUUGAUUUGUUAGAUUUUCUCCCAAGGGAAAGAUGUAUCUGUUGAACACUGGGUACAUAUCUGUUGAACACUGGGUACAUAUCUGUUGAACACUGGGUACAUAUCUGUUGAACACUGUGUACAUAUCUAUCUGAGGUAGUUGGUAUCUAUACCAGAUGCGACAGUAUUUCCUCGUCCUUUCUAGGCCUGUCUGAAUCAGAGGUGUUAUGUCUACGUGUGAGAGUUGCAGGAGACGCCUGUUUUAAUUUCAUCCCUUACCUACUACGGUACGUACAGUUGAAGUUUACAUACACUUAGGUUGGAGUUAUUAAACCUCGUUUUUCAACCACUCCACAAAUUUCUUGUUAACAAAGUUUUACCUACUACGGUACAUACCAUUUUUUAGUCGGUCUCUCUUGACACCAAUGAUAUAAUGUUCUUAAUCAAUAAAGUGUUUUCCUUUAUAGAUGUAACAGUUCUUUUGUUUGGCUUAUGGCUGAUCCCCUUUUUCUUUUCAGUAGUUCAUUGAGGUUCUGAUAUUUACUGUGGGUUUUCUACCAUCUACAGUGGCUUGCGAUAGUAUUCACCCCCUUUGGCAUUUUUCCUAUUUUGUUGCCUUACAACCUGGGUUAUCAUUUUAUUUACCCAACAUGCUAAAUAUUUUUUUUGUAAAAAAACAAGAAAUAAGACAACUUGAGCAUAACUAUUAACCCCCAAAGUCAAUACUUUGCAGCAAUUAUACCCCAAGAGACACGCAGCUAUGUCUCUAUAAGCUUGGCACAUCGAGCCACUGGGAUUUUGCCCAUUCUUCAAGGCAAAACUGCUCCAGCUCCUUCAAGUUGGAUGGGUUCCGCUUGUGUACAGCAAAGUCAUGCCACAGAUCUCAAUUGGAUUGAGGUCUGGGCUUUGACUAGGCCAUUCCAAGACAUUUAAAUGUUUCCCCUUAAACAACGUGUUGCUUUAGCAGUAUGAUUUGGGUCAUUGUUCUGCUGGAAGGUGAACCUCCAUCCCAGUCUCAAAUCUCUGAAAGACUGAAACAGGUUUCCCUCAAGAAUUUUCCUGUAUUUAGCGCCAUCCAUCAUUCCUUCAAUUCUGACCAGUUUCCCAGUCCCUGCCGAUGACAAACAUCCCCACAGCAUGAUGCUGCCACCACCAUGCUUCACUGUCGGGGUGGUGAGAGGCUAGGUUUGCGCCCGACAAAGUGUUUUCCUUGAUGGCCAAAAAGCACAAUUUUAGUCUAAUCUGACCAGAGUACCUUCCAUAUGUGUGGGGAGUCUCCCACAUGCCUUUUGGCAAACACCAAAAGUGUUUGCUUAUUAUUUUCUGGCCAGUCUUCCAUAAAGCCCAGCUCUGUGGAGUGUACGGCUUAAAGUGGUCCUAUGGACAGAUACUCCCAUCUCUUCCGUAAAGCCCGGCUCUGUGGAGGGUACGGCUUAAAGUGGUCCUAUGGACAGAUACUCCCAUCUCUUCCGUAAAGCCCGGCUCUGUGGAGUGUACGGCUUAAAGUGGUCCUAUGGACAGAUACUCCCAUCUCUUCCGUAAAGCCCGGCUCUGUGGAGUGUACGGCUUAAAGUGGUCCUAUGGACAGAUACUCCCAUCUCUUCCGUAAAGCCCAGCUCUGUGGAGUGUACGGCUUAAAGUGGUCCUAUGGACAGAUACUCCCAUCUCUUCCGUAAAGCCCGGCUCUGUGGAGUGUACGGCUUAAAGUGGUCCUAUGGACAGAUACUCCCAUCUCUUCCAUAAAGCCCAGCUCUGUGGAGUGUACGGCUUAAAGUGGUCCUAUGGACAGAUACUCCCAUCUCUUCCGUAAAGCCCAGCUCUGUGGAGUGUACGGCUUAAAGUGGUCCUAUGGACAGAUACUCCAAUCUCCACUGUAGAGCUUUGCAGCUCCUUCAGGGUUAUCUAUGGUCUCUUUGUUGCCUCUGAUUAAUGCCCUACUUGCCUGGUCUGUGAGUUUUGGUGGGCGGCCCUCUAAAGGCAGGUUUGUUGUGGUACCAUAUUCUUUCCAUUUUUUAAUACUGGAUUUAAUGGUGCUCUGUGGGAUGUUCAAAGUUUGGGAUAUUUUUUUUAUAACACAACCCUGAUCUGUACUUCUUCACAACUUUGUCCCUGACCUGUUUGGAGAGCUCCUUGUUGUUCAUGGUGCCGCUUGCUUGGUGGUGUUGCAGACUCUGGGGCCUUUCGGAACAGGUGUGUAUAUAUACUGAGAUCAUGUGACUCUUAAAGUCCACCUGUGUGCAAUCUAUUGAACUAGGUUAUGUGACUUCUGAAGGUAAUUGGUUGCACCAGACCUUAUUUAGGGGCUUCAUAGUAACGUACACACCACUUUCUGCUUUAAAGUUUGUCAUUUGUUAAAACAAUAUUUUUUUCACUUCACCAAUUUGGACUAUUUUGUGUAUGUCCAUUACAUGAAAUCCAAAUAUAUUUACAUUACAGGUUAUAAUGCAGCAAAAUAGGAGAAAUGGAGGAUGAAUACUUUUGCAAGGCACUGUAACUUAUGUUUGGGUUGGUGUGUCACUAAGGAAGAGUGAUGGUUCUUCUCAGCCCUACUGCCUUGCCUGUCUACCGCAUGGGCCCUGCUCUAGAACACUGACAGUUCUGGAACAUUCUAGGUUCUAGAUAUAACCUUUAUAUUAUCUAGAACAUUGGUAGCUGUAGAGCAUUCCAGUCAGAGAACAUUCUAGACAGAAUAUAAGAACAUUCCAGUCCUUCAUCUAAUAUCAUAGCCACCUCUCUACUCCUGAUUUACCCAGUUGAUUCGUCUUAUUUGAAUGUGAAACAACCUGAACGGACAGAAAAAUAAUUGUACCUUUUUAAUGUACCGAUAUUGCAUUUUCUCCCGUAGGUAUUGAUAAGAGGGAAACAUAAGUGAGGAUUAUCUUAAGUAUUAUUUUUGGGUACUUUAGUUUGUUAUUUUACAUCAGUGGUGACCUAUGCUGGCCUGCCCUCACUGGAUUUCAACGCUGUAGUCAAAAUGAAAAGGAUCAUUUUGAAACAUUUGAGGACCUUAUUUAGUCAUUAUUUGAAGGAAAAUAGCAUUACUGAUGUUUAUACAAUACUUCUGAUGCCUGAAGCCACAGUUGACACUUCAGUUGUCUGUUUCCAGUAUUUGACCUAGUCGUCAACAUGGUACCGUUGCUAUGCCUACCACAUUAAUCAACCAAUGCGGUGUUGCAUUACUACUACAGUACAUCGUUAUUUUAUUUGCAUGCAUGUGAAAUUCACUGAUUCAACUUACAUGUCUUUAUCUUUUAAAGUUAUGUUUGUGUGCAGUACUAAUCUACAGGAAGUCAUCUGCCUCUCGAUUCAAAUGAAAUGACUGUCUGGUACAGCAGAGGGGUCCACUGUGAAAGAACCAGCCGCACUGCGUUAUGUUGACACUGACGUCGCGGUACACCCGUAUCUAUUGAAGAUGUUGAUUGUCAAUUUACUCAACCUGUGGUAUUUAGAGAAACAGUACAACAAGUACAGUUGGAAUGUUCUGUAACAAAGUCUUAAGAUGAAAAAAACAUGUAUUUUACCCAAUAGAAAGAGGGCUGGGCGUCUAUUACGAGACAUCACAUUCCACUGCUAUGGCAACUAUAUUCCAUCUGUCAAACUCUUAACAUACAGUCCUCCUCACCAUCUAGUCUUGUCUCACUCCCACUAACUAAUGUUGAUGACCUGUUUUUGUUUUUAAUCUAUAUGUUGAAUAAGAAAUGUACACAGUAAUGUUUACUUUGGGCUUGCCGCAGUGCACAAAGACAUGGCUACACGUGCAUUCGUUUCAUUCCUGAAAUAACUGUACAAUCAAUGAAAUCCUCAAUACUACUGUACGAACUGACUAAAAUAUCAUUUAACCUCACCUAAGUGUUUGUUAGCCUGCUUUGAGCUGAGUAAGAGGUGUAUAACUGACUAUCAUAGAGUUGAUGUAGGAAUAUAACUGUAUAUCUGCAGAUUUGCUUGUAACUCCAAUAUCAAACCUUCCUUAACCUCUUCAUUGCCCUAUGGAUGUUAAGACUGUCCCUUUACAGUCCCGCGUCCCAAAUGGCACCCUAUGUAUAUAGUUCAGAGCCCUAUGGCCCCUGGUUAAAAUGAUGGCACUAUAUAGGGAAUCAGCCCUAUGGCCCCUGGUUAAAAUGAUGGCACUAUAUAGGGAAUCAGCCCUAUGGCCCCUGGUUAAAAUGAUGGCACUAUAUAGGGAAUCAGCCCUAUGGCCCCUGGUUAAAAUGAUGGCACUAUAUAGGGAAUCAGCCCUAUGGCCCCUGGUUAAAAUGAUGGCACUAUAUAGGGAAUCAGCCCUAUGGCCCCUGGUUAAAAUGAUGGCACUAUAUAGGGAAUCAGCCCUAUGGCCCCUGGUUAAAAUGAUGGCACUAUAUAGGGAAUCGGUUGCCAUAUGGGAUGCAGAAAGACUGAUGUAGGUGUGAAUACUAUCCAAUGUACGACAACUAAUAAAACCAAAAACAUGCAACAUA